This 347-nucleotide ribosomal RNA is filed under the name uncultured eukaryote. Its description in RNAcentral is "SSU rRNA". It matches the Rfam family "Eukaryotic small subunit ribosomal RNA", at positions 594 to 945 of the family's 1831-position model. The record is from RNAcentral.
AUAGCGUAUAUUAAAGUUGUUGCAGUUAAAAAGCUCGUAGUUGAACUUCAGACCUGGUCGGGCGGUCCGCCUCACGGUGUGUACUGUUUGACUGGGCCUUACCUCUUGGUGAGCCGGCGUGCCCUUUAUUGGUGUGCGUCGGGGAACCAGGACUUUUACCUUGAGAAAAUUAGAGUGUUCAAAGCAGGCCUAUGCCCGAAUACAUUAGCAUGGAAUAAUAAAAUAGGACGUGCGGUUCUAUUUUGUUGGUUUCUAGAGUCGCCGUAAUGAUUAAUAGGGAUAGUUGGGGGCAUUGGUAUUGAGUCGCUAGAGGUGAAAUUCUUGGAUUGACUCAAGACCAACUAUUG